This 909-nucleotide ribosomal RNA is filed under the name Pezizomycotina sp. SK-2022c. RNAcentral's name for it is "partial large subunit ribosomal RNA". It matches the Rfam family "Eukaryotic large subunit ribosomal RNA", at positions 35 to 964 of the family's 3401-position model. The record is from RNAcentral. Lineage: Eukaryota; Fungi; Ascomycota.
UUAGCAUAUCAAUAAGCGGAGGAAAAGAAACCAACAGGGAUUGCCCUAGUAACGGCGAGUGAAGCGGCAACAGCUCAAAUUUGAAAUCUGGCUCCUUUGGUGCCCGAGUUGUAAUUUGUAGAGGGUGCUUCGGCGUUGGCCCUGGCCUAAGUUCCUUGGAACAGGACGUCACAGAGGGUGAGAAUCCCGUAUGUGGCCGUCGGCCUUCGCCAUGUGAAGCCCCUUCGACGAGUCGAGUUGUUUGGGAAUGCAGCUCUAAAUGGGAGGUAAAUUUCUUCUAAAGCUAAAUACUGGCCAGAGACCGAUAGCGCACAAGUAGAGUGAUCGAAAGAUGAAAAGCACUUUGGAAAGAGAGUCAAAAAGCACGUGAAAUUGUUGAAAGGGAAGCGCUUGCAGCCAGACUUGCCCGCAGUUGCUCAUCCAGGUCUUUGCCUGGUGCACUCUUCUGCGGGCAGGCCAGCAUCAGUUCGGGCGGUUGGAUAAAGACUUCAGGAAUGUGGCUCCCCUCGGGGAGUGUUAUAGCCUGUGGUGCAAUGCAGCCAGCCUGGACUGAGGUCCGCGCGUUUGCUAGGAUGCUGGCGUAAUGGCCGCAAGCGGCCCGUCUUGAAACACGGACCAAGGAGUCUAACAUCUAUGCGAGUGUUUGGGUGUCAAGCCCGGGCGCGCAAUGAAAGUGAACGGAGGUGGGAACCCUCGGGUGCACCAUCGACCGAUCCUGAUGUCUUCGGAUGGAUUUGAGUAAGAGCAUAGCUGUUGGGACCCGAAAGAUGGUGAACUAUGCCUGAAUAGGGUGAAGCCAGAGGAAACUCUGGUGGAGGCUCGCAGCGGUUCUGACGUGCAAAUCGAUCGUCAAAUUUGGGCAUAGGGGCGAAAGACUAAUCGAACUAUCUAGUAGCUGGUUCCUGCCGA